AGUAUGAAGUACUUCGUUGUCAGGAGUUUAAUAAAUCUAUGGUUCGAGGUGUUUUUAUGUUUUGCUUGAAUGUAUCUGCUAACUACUAUAAAAUGCUCAGUUAUAUACUAACUACUGAAUGUGGUAUAUGUUAUCAAAGACUAUUCGUGCUUGUGAAUAGUAUCAAAAAUCUGAGAAAUUUGUGUUAUCUUCAGAAAAAAUACGCACGCUCAGAACAGUUACAAACUAGUUCCUGCCCUUUCUUGAACAAACCUAGUAGGUUGAUAAACCGAAAUAGUAGAUUACAGACAUCAUCCUUAAAAAUGUCACAGGAAUGUAAAAUUGAUAAAGAAGAAAUAAGAAAAAAAUUAACUCCUUUGCAAUAUCAUGUAACUCAGGAAAAAGGAACUGAGAGACCAUUUAGUGGAUGUUACAAUAAAACUUAUGAUGCUGGUACCUAUGUAUGCAUUGUUUGUGAGCAGCCUUUAUUUAGUUCUGAUACUAAAUAUGAUAGUGGCUGUGGAUGGCCUGCUUUCAAUGAUGUUUUAGAUCAAGGCAAAGUUAAACUUUCCCCUGAUACUAGUGGAGAUAAUUUUUUAAAUUUUUCUCUAUAAGAACCAUCCUCGUACUUCAAGGAAUAUUAUACAGAACAAUUAGCAAAAUCGGUUCAGAUUGAAAAUAUUGAGUUACCCAAAUAAAAAAAUUCCUUACACCGCCGAAAACAGGAAAAUGGUAGAAAUCGCCAGAAUUUGGGUAUUUAUAACAAAAUUGAAGUUUAUAGUUGCAUUCAAUUUAACAAAUAACAGAAAAAUUUCGAAAAUGUAGAAACAAAUACCAAAAGUCAAAGUUCAAAACACUUAUUUAGUCCCGAAACUUGGUGGUUCCACAGUUUUUUUCCUUAUAUGUGACAUGACUUGAUGUACCUAAUUAAUUUUAAAACAAUUCAGUUAUCUGUGACUUGUGGUUUGGUUUCCUCAGCUAUAGACCGGGUUUUACAAUUGAUUAAUGAUUAGUCAAGCAUUAAUCAUCAAUUUAUCAAAUAACGAGAUAAAUAUCUGGAAAGUAGGUACCUGGUAUAACAUCAACCCAAAUAAUUGUCAUAGAUGAAUACAAUUACAAAUAGAUGAAAUUUAAGAACAAUCAACACUCGUGAGCCAUAAAAUCGACUCAAGUGGACGCUCGCGGUCAAAAGUGGCUUCCAUUAUUUUUUUCAAAGCCUAGUUUUAGCUCUAAAAUGAGUUGUAUAUGUUGUCAUUGAGUUAAUUUUUUGAUAACCGUCACGGAACCUGCAGUAUAUGGACGAACAUUUUCCUGCAUAACUUAGGCGUUUUCGCCGAUGAAAUUAGCAUAGGGAACGACUCGAUUCCCAAAAAUUUCUUACAAAUAUCGGUACCCGCUCAACCACCAGUUUCAAUAGAAACCAAUAUUUGUUUCCAUUGGAAUGCCCGCCCAAACCAUCCAAGGACCUCCUCCAAAAGCCACAUUUUCUUUUAUGUAACACUGUGCGAAUCUUUCUCCAGCUUCCCUAUAGAUUCGUCUUCUGCUAUCGCUACUAUGCAGGCACACAUUGUUUGUCAGUUCUGUGGCAAAUCGAAGGCGGGCUAAGGUUAAUUUGAAGCCAGUAGCUGGCCAUUUGGUCAAGGUUAGCUGCCUUAAGUCUUCAGGACGCUAAAGCAGACUGAAUCAUGUUCAACGCACUAGCUACUUCUCGCUGACUCUGGCCUUGUCGCAGUAGGGUGACCGCUUGAGUAGCUUUAUCACUUGUAUCCAUUUUCAUGUAAAAUUCUUGUUUGUUGUUAACAGAGCUGUGAAUUGGUUGACUUUACUUUCCAUCGACUCUAUAGUAUGAAUAAAAGUAAAUUAUUUGUUAAUAUUUUUUAAUUUUAAAGUAACAAAAACAAUAAAAUUAUCCAAAAGCCCGUGCCACCAUUUUUAUCAUGUAUUUACAUAAGGAGUAAUAUUUUAUUGUGUCAGUUGUUGUCCGUGUAAAUAUAUUCUUAGUGUUUGUUUGCAGUUUGCGAAACAUUGGGAAAAUCUAAUUGUAAAUUUUUUCUUCCUAUCCCUUGCCUGAACCCUCAUCAUCGCUUCUCUCUUUUGAAUGGUCCUCUACACCAUUUUUUUUAUUUUUUGUUUUGCAUUGUAUCAUUGUACAUUAUUUUGGUUUUGGUUUCUCAUUUUCAAUACCCUUCAUAUCCACUCCCCGCUCUUUAUUACCCUAAAAUAUAGUUGGUUCAAACCUUUUACUCCUCAUAUCCCAACCAGGGCGAAUUCGUACUGAAGUAACGUGCGCCAAGUGUGGAUCUCAUUUAGGACAUGUUUUUGGAGAUGGCCCACCACCGACUAAGAAGAGAUUCUGUAUCAACUCGGCAUCUUUAAAUUUCAUACCACGUGAAAAGGACACCAGUAGCUGAGACUUUUCAUGUGGUUUUAUUAUAUAAUUUAUGCAGUGGCUUUUUUAAUUUAAUGAAGCAAUAUAUAUUAAAACAAAUUAAUAGUUGUGUAUUUUGAAGAUAACAAAUGAUUGAAUUAAUAAAAA
RNA transcript from Diorhabda sublineata, 2515 nucleotides. It is a transcript of the gene named methionine-R-sulfoxide reductase B1, with no coding region annotated. NCBI's taxonomy places the organism in Eukaryota, Metazoa, Arthropoda, Insecta, Coleoptera, Chrysomelidae. The record is from RefSeq and is a predicted model, not a curated record. The transcript is spliced from 5 exons.